RNAcentral lists this microRNA (22 nucleotides) under Homo sapiens (human). Its description in RNAcentral is "hsa-miR-642b-5p". Its record names the gene hsa-miR-642b-5p. Lineage: Eukaryota; Metazoa; Chordata; Mammalia; Primates; Hominidae. The record is from miRBase by way of RNAcentral.
GGUUCCCUCUCCAAAUGUGUCU